AAAAAAGGUAAGCUACUAAGAGCGAAUGGUGGAUGCCUUGACUGGUAAAGGCGAUGAAGGACGUACUAGACUGCGAUAAGCUACGGGGAGCUGUCAAGAAGCUUUGAUCCGUAGAUUUCCGAAUGGGGCAACCCAAUGUAUAGAGAUAUACAUUACCUAUAUAGGAGCGAACGAGGGGAAUUGAAACAUCUUAGUACCCUCAGGAAAAGAAAUCAAUAGAGAUUGCGUCAGUAGCGGCGAGCGAAAGCGCAAGAGGGCAAACCCAGUGCUUGCACUGGGGGUUGUAGGACUGCAAUGUGCAAGAGGUGAGUUUAGCAGAACAUUCUGGAAAGUAUAGCCAUAGAGGGUGAUAGUCCCGUAUGCGAAAAACAAACCUUAGCUAGCAGUAUCCUGAGUAGGGCGGGACACGAGGAAUCCUGUCUGAAUCCGGGUCGACCACGAUCCAACCCUAAAUACUAAUACCAGAUCGAUAGUGCACAAGUACCGUGAGGGAAAGGUGAAAAGAACUGAGGUGAUCAGAGUGAAAUAGAACCUGAAACCAUUUGCUUACAAUCAUUCAGAGCCCUAUGUAGCAAUACAGGGUGAUGGACUGCCUUUUGCAUAAUGAGCCUGCGAGUUGUGGUGUCUGGCAAGGUUAAGCAAACGCGAAGCCGUAGCGAAAGCGAGUCUGAAUAGGGCGCUUAGUCAGAUGCUGCAGACCCGAAACGAAGUGAUCUAUCCAUGAGCAAGUUGAAGCUAGUGUAAGAACUAGUGGAGGACUGAACCCAUAGGCGUUGAAAAGCCCCGGGAUGACUUGUGGAUAGGGGUGAAAGGCCAAUCAAACUUCGUGAUAGCUGGUUCUCUCCGAAAUAUAUUUAGGUAUAGCGUUGUGUCGUAAUAUAAGGGGGUAGAGCACUGAAUGGGCUAGGGCAUACACCAAUGUACCAAACCCUAUCAAACUCCGAAUACCUUAUAUGUAAUCACAGCAGUCAGGCGGCGAGUGAUAAAAUCCGUCGUCAAGAGGGAAACAACCCAGACUACCAGCUAAGGUCCCUAAAUCUUACUUAAGUGGAAAACGAUGUGAAGUUACUUAAACAACCAGGAGGUUGGCUUAGAAGCAGCCAUCCUUUAAAGAAAGCGUAAUAGCUCACUGGUCUAGUGAUUUUGCGCGGAAAAUAUAACGGGGCUAAAGUAAGUACCGAAGCUGUAGACUUGCGCACAACUUAGAUUAUUUAAGUUUAGAAUAUGAGAAACUAAGUUAUAUGUUUAGUUAUAUUUUUACUGAUUUUUAUAGAGUAAAGAUAGAAAUAAAACUUAGUAAAAUCAGUAAAAAUAUUCUUAGAUUAAAGUUAAGUAGUUUAAGUUGUGUGCAAGUGGUAGGAGAGCGUUCUAUUUGCGUCGAAGGUAUACCGGUAAGGAGUGCUGGAGCGAAUAGAAGUGAGCAUGCAGGCAUGAGUAGCGAUAAUUAAUGUGAGAAUCAUUAACGCCGUAAACCCAAGGUUUCCUACGCGAUGCUCGUCAUCGUAGGGUUAGUCGGGUCCUAAGUCGAGUCCGAAAGGGGUAGACGAUGGCAAAUUGGUUAAUAUUCCAAUACCAACAUUAGUGUGCGAUGGAAGGACGCUUAGGGCUAAGGGGGCUAGCGGAUGGAAGUGCUAGUCUAAGGUCGUAGGAGGUUAUACAGGCAAAUCCGUAUAACAAUACUCCGAGAACUGAAAGGCUUUUUGAAGUCUUCGGAUGGAUAGAAGAACCCCUGAUGCCGUCGAGCCAAGAAAAGUUUCUAAGUUUAGCUAAUGUUGCCCGUACCGUAAACCGACACAGGUGGGUGGGAUGAGUAUUCUAAGGCGCGUGGAAGAACUCUCUUUAAGGAACUCUGCAAAAUAGCACCGUAUCUUCGGUAUAAGGUGUGGUUCGCUUCGUAUUAGGAUUUACUCCGAAAGCGAAGAAACUUACAACAAAGAGUCCCUCCCGACUGUUUACCAAAAACACAGCACUCUGCUAACUCGUAAGAGGAUGUAUAGGGUGUGACGCCUGCCCGGUGCUCGAAGGUUAAUUGAUGGGGUUAGCAUUAGCGAAGCUCUUGAUCGAAGCCCGAGUAAACGGCGGCCGUAACUAUAACGGUCCUAAGGUAGCGAAAUUCCUUGUCGGUUAAAUACCGACCUGCAUGAAUGGCGUAACGAGAUGGGAGCUGUCUCAAAGAGGGAUCCAGUGAAAUUGUAGUGGAGGUGAAAAUUCC
Molecule: ribosomal RNA, 2212 nt
Filed under: Campylobacter coli
Lineage: Bacteria; Pseudomonadati; Campylobacterota; Epsilonproteobacteria; Campylobacterales; Campylobacteraceae
Description: partial 23S ribosomal RNA
Rfam family: Bacterial large subunit ribosomal RNA
Source: RNAcentral